GGGCCCGCACAAGCGGUGGAUGAUGUGGAUUAAUUCGAUGCAACGCGAAGAACCUUACCUGCUCUUGACAUGCCAGGAACUUGCCAGAGAUGGCUUGGUGCCCGAAAGGGAACCUGGACACAGGUGCUGCAUGGCUGUCGUCAGCUCGUGUCGUGAGAUGUUGGGUUAAGUCCCGCAACGAGCGCAACCCUUGCCAUUAGUUGCUACGAAAGGGCACUCUAAUGGGACUGCCGGUGACAAACCGGAGGAAGGUGGGGAUGACGUCAAGUCCUCAUGGCCCUUAUGAGCAGGGCUUCACACGUCAUACAAUGGUCGGUACAGAGGGUCGCCAACCCGCGAGGGGGAGCCAAUCCCAGAAAACCGAUCGUAGUCCGGAUCGUAGUCUGCAACUCGACUACGUGAAGUCGGAAUCGCUAGUAAUCGCAGGUCAGCAUACUGCGGUGAAUACGUUCCCGGGCCUU
RNAcentral lists this ribosomal RNA (461 nucleotides) under uncultured bacterium. Its description in RNAcentral is "bacterial SSU rRNA". It matches the Rfam family "Bacterial small subunit ribosomal RNA", at positions 917 to 1382 of the family's 1533-position model. The record is from RNAcentral.